AUUGAACGCUGGCGGCAUGCCUUACACAUGCAAGUCGAACGGCAGCGGACCUUCGGGUGCCGGCGAGUGGCGAACGGGUGAGUAAUAUAUCGGAACGUACCUUUCAGUGGGGGAUAACGUAGCGAAAGUUACGCUAAUACCGCAUAUUCUGUGAGCAGGAAAGCAGGGGAUCGCAAGACCUUGCGCUGAUUGAGCGGCCGAUAUCAGAUUAGCUAGUUGGUGAGGUAAAGGCUCACCAAGGCGACGAUCUGUAGCGGGUCUGAGAGGAUGGUCCGCCACACUGGAACUGAGACACGGUCCAGACUCCUACGGGAGGCAGUAGUGGGGAAUUUUGGACAAUGGGCGCAAGCCUGAUCCAGCCAUGCCGCGUGAGUGAAGAAGGCC
Molecule: ribosomal RNA, 384 nt
Filed under: uncultured bacterium
Lineage: Bacteria
Description: bacterial SSU rRNA
Rfam family: Bacterial small subunit ribosomal RNA
Source: RNAcentral